Molecule: ribosomal RNA, 434 nt
Filed under: uncultured bacterium
Lineage: Bacteria
Description: bacterial SSU rRNA
Rfam family: Bacterial small subunit ribosomal RNA
Source: RNAcentral
GGGCCCGCACAAGCGGUGGAGUAUGUGGUUUAAUUCGAUGCAACGCGAAGAACCUUACCAGGGUUUGACAUCCUGCGAAUCUCUUGGAAACGAGAGAGUGCCUUCGGGAGCCGAGAUACAGGUGUUGCAUGGCUGUCGUCAGCUCGUGUCGUGAGAUGUUGGGUUAAGUCCCGUAACGAGCGCAACCCCUAUCCUUAGUUGCCAGCACGUAAUGGUGGGGACUCUAGGGAGACUGCCGGUGAUAAAUCGGAGGAAGGUGGGGAUGAGGUCAAGUCAUCAUGGCCCUUACGGGUAGGGCUACACACGUGCUACAAUGGGCAGUACAACGAGUCGCAAUACCGCGAGGUGGAGCAAAUCUCUUAAAGCUUGUCUCAGUUCGGAUAGGAGUCUGCAACUCGACUCCUUGAAGUUGGAGUCGCUAGUAAUCGCAAAUC